UACGUAGGGGGCAAGCGUUAUCCGGAUUUACUGGGUGUAAAGGGGGCGUAGACGGCGAUGCAAGCCAGGAGUGAAAGCCCGGGGCCCAACCCCGGGACUGCUCUUGGAACUGCGUGGCUGGAGUGCAGGAGGGGCAGGCGGAAUUCCUGGUGUAGCGGUGAAAUGCGUAGAUAUCAGGAGGAACACCGGUGGCGAAGGCGGCCUGCUGGACUGCAACUGACGUUGAGGCCCGAAAGCGUGGGGAGCAAACAGG
RNAcentral lists this ribosomal RNA (253 nucleotides) under uncultured bacterium. RNAcentral describes it as "partial 16S ribosomal RNA". It matches the Rfam family "Bacterial small subunit ribosomal RNA", at positions 524 to 776 of the family's 1533-position model. The record is from RNAcentral.